GCCUGGGCUCAAGACAAUUUUUAGCUUCAUUGUUCCUAAUCAAAAGUCUGGCAAGGUAUCAGGAUAUUGCAUCUAGGCUCAUAGAUCUCUCCAUUAUCACUUGCAUGCAACUUGCAGAUAAGCUCUGGAAUUAGAACUAAUAGACUAUAUUUGCAUUUUGCAACUUUCAGGUAUCGAAUCUGUUUAUUUGUGGGAGGGUGAGGUAAGAAUACCAUGCAUACUGAGUUAUAUCAUUAACUGAUAUUUUAUGACCAAUUCAAUUGUCAGAUUAAUGCGAAUGAGCCUCAAUGACAUCAUAUGUGCAUCAGAAUAGAUUAAUCGCACAUAUGGUAUGUUGUGAAGUUCGUUAAUCUGGCUAUCAGGAUGAGUUGUUGUGGGGAGCUACUUAGCUGCACAAAGCCACCAAAAACCCAGCUCAUCUGAACUACAUUCAAUUGAAUGGUUAGACACUUGGAGCUGAUGAGACUGACAAUAACCUUGGUUGGGAUAACAAACAUGUUGGGGCAAGAAUCUUAAUUUCCAAGAUCUGAUUUUUUAUUUUUUUUUCUUUUUCUUUCUAAUUUCUAUCCUUUCU
This is a long non-coding RNA of Magnolia sinica, 574 nucleotides long. RefSeq lists it as uncharacterized. NCBI's taxonomy places the organism in Eukaryota, Viridiplantae, Streptophyta, Magnoliopsida, Magnoliales, Magnoliaceae. The transcript is spliced from 3 exons. The record is from RefSeq and is a predicted model, not a curated record.